UGAGUUUUAAACGGCCGCGGUACUGACCGUGCAAAGGUAGCAUAAUCAUUUGCCUUAUAAUUGAAGGCUGGAAUGAAUGGUUUGACAAGAAUACAGCUGUCUCUUUUAGAUUGUUUAGAAUUUUAUUUUUGGAUGAAAAAGUCCAGUUAUUAUUAAAAGACAAGAAGACCCUAUCGAGCUUUAGAGAAAUUAGUAGGCUUAAUAGGAAUCAAUAUAAAUAAAAGAAAGCUAUUAAAUACUUUGGUUGGGGCAACCGAGGAGCAAAUAAAGCCUCCUUUAAGCUAUAAGUCAAACUUGUGUUGAUCCAAAGAUUUUGAUCAAAGGAAUUAGUUACCGUAGGGAUAACAGCAUAAUCUUUUUCAAGAGCCCAUAUCGAAAAAAAGGUUUGUGACCUCGAUGUUGGACCAGAAUAUCCUAAAGAUGCAUUUAAGGGUUGGU
Molecule: ribosomal RNA, 438 nt
Filed under: Conus pulicarius
Lineage: Eukaryota; Metazoa; Mollusca; Gastropoda; Neogastropoda; Conidae
Description: partial 16S ribosomal RNA
Rfam family: Bacterial large subunit ribosomal RNA
Source: RNAcentral